UUCUAUCUAUCUAUCAUUCUUUCUGUCUGUCUAUCUAUCUACUGUAUCAUUCUUUCUGUCUGUCUAUCUAUCUGUCUACCUGUCUGUCUGUCCUUCUAUCCUUCUAUCUGUUGCUCUACCUAUCAUUCUAUCAACCUAUCUAGCGUUCUACCAAUCUAUCUAGCGUUCUAUCUAUCGUUCUAUCUAUUGUUCUAUCUUUUGUUAGUUACAUCUAACAUUGUGUCUGUCUAUCAUUCUAUCAUUCUGUCGUUCAAUGUAUCGUUCUGUUGUACAUUCCAUCUGUCUCUCUUUUCUUUUUGUACAUUCUAUCAUUCUACCUAUUAUUUUAUCAGCCUUUCUAUCUAUCUAUCUAUCUAUCUAUCUAUCUAUCUAUCUAUCUAUCUAUCUAUCUAUCUAUCUAUCUAUCUAUCUAUCUAUCUGUCUGUCUGUCUGUCUGUCUGUCUGUCUGUCUGUCUGUCAUUCUAUCUAUCAUUCUGUCAUUCUAUCAUUCUGUCGUUCAAAGUAUCAUUCCGUCUGUCUGUCUGCCUGUCUGUCUGUUAUUCUAUCCUUCUAUCUAUCGUUCUAACUGUCGUUCUUUCAACCUAUCUAUCUAUCUAUCUAUCUAUCUAUCUAUCUAUCUAUCUAUCUAUCUAUCUAUCUAUCUAUCUGUCUAUCUAUCUGUCUGUCUGUCUGUCUGUCUGUCUGUCUGUCUGUCUGUCUGUCUGUCUGUCUGUCUGUUGUUCUUUCUAUGUUAGUAUCUGUAGGUCUAUGAACCCAUUGUUCUGUCAUUCAAUGUAUCAUUCUGUUGUACAUUCCAUCUGUCUGUCUGUAAGUUGUUCUAUCUAUCUGUCUGUUGGUCUGUCAUUCUAUCUACUGUAUCAUGCUGUCUGUUGUUUUAUCUAUCCAUCCAUUGUUCUAUCAUUCUAUCUAUCUAUUGAUCUAUUUUCUUCAUUCAGUCAUUCUUUCUCUGUCGUUCUAUCUGUCAUUAUGCAUUCUUUCAUUAUGUCUAUCUUUCUAUCUACAGUAUCUAUAACCACUGCUUCUUACUGGUUAUUUUCGACCUUGUGCCAUUCUCAUGUCAGAAGUAAUCUUUUGAUGUUUUCAAACAUUUGUUAAUUUUCUAGAAAUCUAAUCUGUUUCCAUGAGUCAUGAUUAGCCUUAAGCAUCAGUGUAGUUCAUAGCUGCUUAGCAGUAACUUAUUUUACACAUGACUGGACAUGAUCUUGUCAUCUUCUAAACCACUAGCUUCUCAGUCCUGAUGAGUGCGACGCUGAUCCGCAGGCACUUUCUGAAUGCCACAGUUAUAACAAUGCCUCUAAUUACAUUGUGUCUGUUGCUGUCACUGUCUCGCUGUUCCAGACGCAGAUGAGACAUGGUACCCUCACCUCUGUCAGCCUGAUGUCCUCCCGUCAUGUUCAGUGAGUCAGCGGCUGAGUGUUCCAUAACAUCGCUCCGCUCCAUCAGAGCUUGUGUUGAGGUAAUCAAGUAUGCUAUUCAGUACUAAGAGUUUCAAAAUAGCAUGAUGCUUUUGAACCACGUCAUCAAUGAAGUAAAUCUUGAUCUCUCUCGUCUCUUUUGCAUUUAUAUAUGUACUGUAUAUGUGUGUGUGUGUGUCUGUGUCUGUGUUUGCAUGGUUAAGCAUCCGGUUAUCUUUUUCUAAACAAAAAAUGUCUUCUUAAAAGUUAAUAUAAAGAUAUUUUGGUUGAUAAUACAC
This is a long non-coding RNA of Cyprinus carpio carpio, 1693 nucleotides long. NCBI's taxonomy places the organism in Eukaryota, Metazoa, Chordata, Actinopteri, Cypriniformes, Cyprinidae. The record is from Ensembl.